Molecule: ribosomal RNA, 321 nt
Filed under: uncultured eukaryote
Lineage: Eukaryota
Description: partial 18S ribosomal RNA
Rfam family: Eukaryotic small subunit ribosomal RNA
Source: RNAcentral
CCCUUAGAUGUCCUGGGCCGCACGCGCGCUACACUGACAUGUUCAACAAGCCUCCUAGUUCGACAGGAUUUGGGAAAUCUUUGAACGCAUGUCGUGAUAGGGAUAGAUCAUUGCAAUUAUUGAUCUUGAACGAGGAAUUCCUAGUAAACGCGAGUCAUCAGCUCGCAUUGAUUACGUCCCUGCCCUUUGUACACACCGCCCGUCGCACCUACCGAUUGAAUGUUUCGGUGAAGAUUCCGGAUAGGACUUUUUUGAUUUAUUUCAAUUUUGCCUUAAAAGCUAUCUAAACCUCAACAUUUAGAGGAAGGUGAAGUCGUAACA